GUGAGUAAUGCCUAGGAAUCUGCCUAGUGGUGGGGGAUAACGUUCGGAAACGGACGCUAAUACCGCAUACGUCCUACGGGAGAAAGGGGGGGACCUUCGGGCCUCGCGCCAUUAGAUGAGCCUAGGUCGGAUUAGCUAGUUGGUGAGGUAAUGGCUCACCAAGGCGACGAUCCGUAACUGGUCUGAGAGGAUGAUCAGUCACACUGGAACUGAGACACGGUCCAGACUCCUACGGGAGGCAGCAGUGGGGAAUAUUGGACAAUGGGCGAAAGCCUGAUCCAGCCAUGCCGCGUGUGUGAAGAAGGUCUUCGGAUUGUAAAGCACUUUAAGUUGGGAGGAAGGGUAGUAACUUAAUACGUUGCUACUUUGACGUUACCGACAGAAUAAGCACCGGCUAACUUCGUGCCAGCAGCCGCGGUAAUACGAAGGGUGCAAGCGUUAAUCGGAAUUACUGGGCGUAAAGCGCGCGUAGGUGGUUCAGUAAGUUGGAUGUGAAAUCCCCGGGCUCAACCUGGGAACUGCAUCCAAAACUGCUGAGCUAGAGUACGGUAGAGGGUAGUGGAAUUUCCUGUGUAGCGGUGAAAUGCGUAGAUAUAGGAAGGAACACCAGUGGCGAAGGCGACUACCUGGACUGAUACUGACACUGA
RNAcentral lists this ribosomal RNA (647 nucleotides) under Pseudomonas sp. Its description in RNAcentral is "bacterial SSU rRNA". It matches the Rfam family "Bacterial small subunit ribosomal RNA", at positions 106 to 749 of the family's 1533-position model. The record is from RNAcentral. Lineage: Bacteria; Pseudomonadati; Pseudomonadota; Gammaproteobacteria; Pseudomonadales; Pseudomonadaceae.